This 327-nucleotide ribosomal RNA is filed under the name uncultured eukaryote. RNAcentral describes it as "partial 18S ribosomal RNA". It matches the Rfam family "Eukaryotic small subunit ribosomal RNA", at positions 1470 to 1796 of the family's 1831-position model. The record is from RNAcentral.
CCCUUAGAUGUUCUGGGCCGCACACGCGCUACACUGAAGGAGGCAGCGUGUACUCCUGGAUCGAAAGAUUUGGGUAACCCGCGAAUCUCCUUCGUGCUAGGGAUUGAGGUUUGCAAUUAUCCUUCAUGAACGAGGAAUUCCCAGUAAGUACAAGUCAUAAGCUUGCGCUGACUACGUCCCUGCCCUUUGUACACACCGCCCGUCGCUACUACCGAUUGAAUGAUUUAGUGAGGACUUCGGACUGGGACCGAUGCGGCUUUCGGGCUGCGUCGGUAUUCUGGAAAGAUGUCCAAACUGUAUCAUUUAGAGGAAGUAAAAGUCGUANCA